RNAcentral lists this ribosomal RNA (448 nucleotides) under Corynebacterium matruchotii. RNAcentral describes it as "bacterial SSU rRNA". It matches the Rfam family "Bacterial small subunit ribosomal RNA", at positions 28 to 466 of the family's 1533-position model. Lineage: Bacteria; Bacillati; Actinomycetota; Actinomycetes; Mycobacteriales; Corynebacteriaceae. The record is from RNAcentral.
GACGAACGCUGGCGGCGUGCUUAACACAUGCAAGUCGAACGGAAAGGCCCCCACUUUUUUGGUGGGGGUGCUCGAGUGGCGAACGGGUGAGUAACACGUGGGUGAUCUGCCCUGUACUUCGGGAUAAGCUUGGGAAACUGGGUCUAAUACCGGAUAGGACCAUGGUUUAGUGUCUCAUGGUGGAAAAAUUAUUGUUUUGGUGCAGGAUGAGCUCGCGGCCUAUCAGCUUGUUGGUGGGGUAAUGGCCUACCAAGGCGUCGACGGGUAGCCGGCCUGAGAGGGUGGACGGCCACAUUGGGACUGAGAUACGGCCCAGACUCCUACGGGAGGCAGCAGUGGGGAAUAUUGCACAAUGGGCGCAAGCCUGAUGCAGCGACGCCGCGUGGGGGAUGACGGCCUUCGGGUUGUAAACUCCUUUCGUUAGGGACGAAGCCAUACUUUUUGGGUG